Molecule: ribosomal RNA, 433 nt
Filed under: uncultured bacterium
Lineage: Bacteria
Description: partial 16S ribosomal RNA
Rfam family: Bacterial small subunit ribosomal RNA
Source: RNAcentral
AACGAACGCUGGCGGCAGGCUUAACACAUGCAAGUCGAGCGAGACCUUCGGGUCUAGCGGCGGACGGGUGAGUAACGCGUGGGAACGUGCCCUUCUCUACGGAAUAGCCCCGGGAAACUGGGAGUAAUACCGUAUACGCCCUUUGGGGGAAAGAUUUAUCGGAGAAGGAUCGGCCCGCGUUGGAUUAGGUAGUUGGUGGGGUAAUGGCCCACCAAGCCGACGAUCCAUAGCUGGUUUGAGAGGAUGAUCAGCCACACUGGGACUGAGACACGGCCCAGGCCCCCACGGGAGGGAGGAGUGGGGAAUCUUAGACAAUGGGGGCAACCCUGAUCCAGCCAAGCCGCGUGAGUGAUGAAGGCCUUAGGGUUGUAAAGCUCUUUCAGCUGGGAAGAUAAUGACGGUACCAGCAGAAGAAGCCCCGGCUAACUCCGUG